UACGUAGGUCCCGGGCGUUGUCCGGAUUUAUUGGGCGUAAAGCGAGCGCAGGUGGUUUAUUAAGUCUGGUGUAAAAGGCAGUGGCUCAACCAUUGUAUGCAUUGGAAACUGGUAGACUUGAGUGCAGGAGAGGAGAGUGGAAUUCCAUGUGUAGCGGUGAAAUGCGUAGAUAUAUGGAAGAACACCAGUGGCGAAAGCGGCUCUCUGGUCUGUAACUGACGCUGAGGUUCGAAAGCGUGGGUAGCAAACAGG
RNAcentral lists this ribosomal RNA (252 nucleotides) under uncultured bacterium. Its description in RNAcentral is "partial 16S ribosomal RNA". It matches the Rfam family "Bacterial small subunit ribosomal RNA", at positions 524 to 776 of the family's 1533-position model. The record is from RNAcentral.